ACUGCCCGAUGGAGGGGGAUAACUACUGGAAACGGUAGCUAAUACCGCAUAACGUCGCAAGACCAAAGAGGGGACCUUCGGGCCUCUUGCCAUCGGAUGUGCCCAGAUGGGAUUAGCUAGUAGGUGGGGUAACGGCUCACCUAGGCGACGAUCCCUAGCUGGUCUGAGAGGAUGACCAGCCACACUGGAACUGAGACACGGUCCAG
Molecule: ribosomal RNA, 206 nt
Filed under: uncultured bacterium
Lineage: Bacteria
Description: partial 16S ribosomal RNA
Rfam family: Bacterial small subunit ribosomal RNA
Source: RNAcentral